RNAcentral lists this ribosomal RNA (1517 nucleotides) under Klebsiella pneumoniae. Its description in RNAcentral is "bacterial SSU rRNA". It matches the Rfam family "Bacterial small subunit ribosomal RNA". The record is from RNAcentral. Lineage: Bacteria; Pseudomonadati; Pseudomonadota; Gammaproteobacteria; Enterobacterales; Enterobacteriaceae.
AGAGUUUGAUCAUGGCUCAGAUUGAACGCUGGCGGCAGGCCUAACACAUGCAAGUCGAGCGGUAGCACAGAGAGCUUGCUCUCGGGUGACGAGCGGCGGACGGGUGAGUAAUGUCUGGGAAACUGCCUGAUGGAGGGGGAUAACUACUGGAAACGGUAGCUAAUACCGCAUAACGUCGCAAGACCAAAGUGGGGGACCUUCGGGCCUCAUGCCAUCAGAUGUGCCCAGAUGGGAUUAGCUAGUAGGUGGGGUAACGGCUCACCUAGGCGACGAUCCCUAGCUGGUCUGAGAGGAUGACCAGCCACACUGGAACUGAGACACGGUCCAGACUCCUACGGGAGGCAGCAGUGGGGAAUAUUGCACAAUGGGCGCAAGCCUGAUGCAGCCAUGCCGCGUGUGUGAAGAAGGCCUUCGGGUUGUAAAGCACUUUCAGCGGGGAGGAAGGCGUUAAGGUUAAUAACCUUGGCGAUUGACGUUACCCGCAGAAGAAGCACCGGCUAACUCCGUGCCAGCAGCCGCGGUAAUACGGAGGGUGCAAGCGUUAAUCGGAAUUACUGGGCGUAAAGCGCACGCAGGCGGUCUGUCAAGUCGGAUGUGAAAUCCCCGGGCUCAACCUGGGAACUGCAUUCGAAACUGGCAGGCUAGAGUCUUGUAGAGGGGGGUAGAAUUCCAGGUGUAGCGGUGAAAUGCGUAGAGAUCUGGAGGAAUACCGGUGGCGAAGGCGGCCCCCUGGACAAAGACUGACGCUCAGGUGCGAAAGCGUGGGGAGCAAACAGGAUUAGAUACCCUGGUAGUCCACGCCGUAAACGAUGUCGAUUUGGAGGUUGUGCCCUUGAGGCGUGGCUUCCGGAGCUAACGCGUUAAAUCGACCGCCUGGGGAGUACGGCCGCAAGGUUAAAACUCAAAUGAAUUGACGGGGGCCCGCACAAGCGGUGGAGCAUGUGGUUUAAUUCGAUGCAACGCGAAGAACCUUACCUGGUCUUGACAUCCACAGAACUUNUUGGUGCCUUCGGGAACUGUGAGACAGGUGCUGCAUGGCUGUCGUCAGCUCGUGUUGUGAAAUGUUGGGUUAAGUCCCGCAACGAGCGCAACCCUUAUCCUUUGUUGCCAGCGGUCCGGCCGGGAACUCAAAGGAGACUGCCAGUGAUAAACUGGAGGAAGGUGGGGAUGACGUCAAGUCAUCAUGGCCCUUACGACCAGGGCUACACACGUGCUACAAUGGCAUAUACAAAGAGAAGCGACCUCGCGAGAGCAAGCGGACCUCAUAAAGUAUGUCGUAGUCCGGAUUGGAGUCUGCAACUCGACUCCAUGAAGUCGGAAUCGCUAGUAAUCGUAGAUCAGAAUGCUACGGUGAAUACGUUCCCGGGCCUUGUACACACCGCCCGUCACACCAUGGGAGUGGGUUGCAAAAGAAGUAGGUAGCUUAACCUUCGGGAGGGCGCUUACCACUUUGUGAUUCAUGACUGGGGUGAAGUCGUAACAAGGUAACCGUAGGGGAACCUGCGGUUGGAUCACCU